Long non-coding RNA from Magnolia sinica, 273 nucleotides. RefSeq lists it as uncharacterized. The record is from RefSeq and is a predicted model, not a curated record. NCBI's taxonomy places the organism in Eukaryota, Viridiplantae, Streptophyta, Magnoliopsida, Magnoliales, Magnoliaceae. The transcript has 3 exons.
GUCACGAAGGAAGACCAGGGAGCCCAAGGAGGAGAAUGUGACACUAGGACCAACUAUAUGAGAGGGAGAGAAUGUUUUCGAUGUCGCUCACAUCUUUGCAUCUUUUAAUGAUACUUUUAUCCAUGUGACAGAUUUAUCUGGAAGAGAAACCAUGGUCCGCGUUACUGGCGGGAUGAAAGUCAAGGCAGACAGGGAUGAGUCCUCUCCCUAUGCUGCCAUGCUUGCAACACAAGAUGUUGCACAACGCUGCAAGGUAUGCACUUCCAUUUCCAC